Molecule: ribosomal RNA, 497 nt
Filed under: uncultured bacterium
Lineage: Bacteria
Description: partial 16S ribosomal RNA
Rfam family: Bacterial small subunit ribosomal RNA
Source: RNAcentral
GACGAACGCUGGCGGCGUGCCUAAUACAUGCAAGUUGAGCGCUGAAGGUUGGUACUUGUACCGACUGGAUGAGCAGCGAACGGGUGAGUAACGCGUGGGGAAUCUGCCUUUGAGCGGGGGACAACAUUUGGAAACGAAUGCUAAUACCGCAUAAAAACUUUAAACACAAGGUUUAAUUUUGAAAGAUGCAAUUGCAUCACUCUAAGAUGAUCCCGCGUUGUAUUAGCUAGUUGGUGAGGUAAAGGCCCACCAAGGCGGUGAUACAUAGCCGACCUUAGAGGGUGGUCGGCCACCUUGGGACUGGGAACAGGCCCAAACUCCUAAGGGAAGCAGCAGUAGGGAAUCUUCGGCAAUGGACGAAAGUCUGAACGGGCAACGCCGCGUGAGUGAAGAAGGUUUUCGGAUCGUAAAACUCUGUUGGUAGAGAAGAACGUUGGUGAGAGUGGAAAGCUCAUCAAGUGACGGUAACUACCCAGAAAGGGACGGCUAACUACGUG